GGUGUGUGGUUUCUUUGCAAUGGUAGUGUUUGCUGUGGACACCGUUAUUUCUUUUAUGUCUUAUACCAAGUCUUCAAAGUAACUCUAUCUUGUAGUUGUUUUUUAUCUUGCUAAACUUGUCACAAUAAAGUGUAAUUAUGAACAAAAAUGAGUCUGACCAGUAGUUUAUUCCUAGUACGUGUGGGAGGAUGGCAUGAAUAGCAGUACGAUCCCUUCCAUUAGAUGCGUGUCCGGUGGAACUGUAUACGGAAAAAAGAAGGAAAACGCAGUUUUUCACUAAAAUGACUGAGGACUGUUUCAUACCUCGAACUUUUGAUGCAGUGAAUAUAAUGUAAGGCCUGGAUCAAGAGUUACUCUUUUCA
Non-coding RNA from Paramuricea clavata, 362 nucleotides. The record is from the annotation of a GenBank genome assembly. NCBI's taxonomy places the organism in Eukaryota, Metazoa, Cnidaria, Anthozoa, Malacalcyonacea, Plexauridae.